Molecule: long non-coding RNA, 792 nt
Filed under: Pan troglodytes (chimpanzee)
Lineage: Eukaryota; Metazoa; Chordata; Mammalia; Primates; Hominidae
Description: long non-coding RNA NONPTRT000823
Source: RNAcentral
CUGGAGGUGACGCCUGCCCUUUUCCACCCUUCGCCAGUCCACUGUGAAAAGCUGGGUUGAUUGUGCAGGUUAGAUAGAGGUCAUCAGCCAGGUUGAUUGUGUGGGUUAGAUAGAGAUCAUCAGCCUGGUGGAUUGUGUGGGUUAGAUAGAGAUCAUCAGCUGGGUUGAUUGUGCGGGUUAGAUAGAGGUCAUCAGCUUGGUUGAUUGUGCGGGUUAGAUAGAGAUCAUCAGCCUGGUUGAUUCUACAGGUUAGAUAGAGAUCAUCAGCUGGGUUUAUUGUGUGGGUUAGAUAGAGAUCAUCAGCUUGGUUGAUUGUGCGGGUUAGAUAGAGGUCGUCAGCCGGGUUGAUUGUGCGGGUUAGAUAGAGAUCAUCAGCCGGGUUGAUUGUGUGGGUUAGAUAGAGAUCAUCAGCCGGGUUGAUUGUGUGGGUUAGAUAGAGAUCAUCAGCCGGGUUGAUUGUGCGGGUUAGAUAGAGAUCAUCAGCCGGGUUGAUUGUGCGGGUUAGAUAGAGAUCAUCAGCCGGGUUGAUUGUGUGGGUUAGAUAGAGAUCAUCAGCCGGGUUGAUUGUGUGGGUUAGAUAGAGGUCAUCAGCCGGGUUGAUUGUGUGGGUUAGAUAGAGAUCAUCAGCCGGGUUGAUUGUGUGGGUUAGAUAGAGAUCAUCAGCCGGGUUGAUUGUGUGGGUUAGAUAGAGGUCAUCAGCAGGGUUGAUUGUGUGGGUUAGAUAGAGGUCAUCAGCCGGGUUGAUUGUGUGGGUUAGAUAGAGGUCAUCAGCUGGGUUGAUUGUGCGGGUUA